CCUACGGGUGGCAGCAGUGAGGAAUAUUGGUCAAUGGACGAGAGUCUGAACCAGCCAAGUAGCGUGCAGGAUGACUGCCCUAUGGGUUGUAAACUUCUUUUAUAAAGGAAUAAACCGAGGCACGCGUGCCUUUUUGCAUGUACUUUAUGAAUAAGGAUCGGCUAACUCCGUGCCAGCAGCCGCGGUAAUACGGAGGAUCCGAGCGUUAUCCGGAUUUAUUGGGUUUAAAGGGAGCGUAGAUGGGUUGUUAAGUCAGUUGUGAAAGUUUGGGGCUCAACUGUAGAAUUGCAAUUGAUACUGGCAGUCUUGAGUACAGUUGAGGUAGGCGGAAUGCGUGGUGUAGCGGUGAAAUGCUUAGAUAUCACGAAGAACCCCGAUUGCGAAGGCAGCUUACUAAACUGUUACUGACAUUGAUGCUCGAAAGUGUGGGGAUCAAACAGGAUUAGAUACCCCAGUAGUC
This 460-nucleotide ribosomal RNA is filed under the name uncultured bacterium. RNAcentral's name for it is "partial 16S ribosomal RNA". It matches the Rfam family "Bacterial small subunit ribosomal RNA", at positions 338 to 795 of the family's 1533-position model. The record is from RNAcentral.